Molecule: ribosomal RNA, 439 nt
Filed under: uncultured Bryobacterales bacterium
Lineage: Bacteria; Pseudomonadati; Acidobacteriota; Terriglobia; Bryobacterales
Description: partial 16S ribosomal RNA
Rfam family: Bacterial small subunit ribosomal RNA
Source: RNAcentral
CCUACGGGAGGCAGCAGUGGGGAAUCUUGCACAAUGGGGGAAACCCUGAUGCAGCGACGCCGCGUGAGCGACGAAGCCCUUCGGGGUGUAAAGCUCUUUCGGCAGGGACGAUAAUGACGGUACCUGCAGAAGAAGCUGCGGCUAACUACGUGCCAGCAGCCGCGGUAAUACGUAGGCAGCGAGCGUUGUUCGGAAUUACUGGGCGUAAAGCGUGCGUAGGCGGUCGGCUAAGUUUGGUGUGAAAUCUCCCGGCCCAACCGGGAGGGUGCGCCGAAAACUGGCCGGCUAGAGUGCGGGAGAGGGAAGCGGAAUUCCUGGUGUAGAGGUGAAAUUCGUAGAUAUCAGGAGGACCACCGGUGGCGAGGGCGGCUUCCUGGACCGAGACUGACGCUGAGACGCGAAAGCGUGGGGAGCAAACAGGAUUAGAUACCCCGGUAGU